UCCAGACAUCGAAUGCUGAACCAUCGUAUGGCAGCGCGAAGCAUUUACGGCUAUGCCGGAGAUUUCGACCCYGACACYGUUAUCCGAAGAUUUACAGGCUGAUCAGGAAGCUCAGCCAAAGCCUAAGGGAGAGAGGCAGGAAGAGAGAGAGGGAUUGAGUCAAAGAGAAGAACUAGAUAAGAAAUCCUACCAGCAUUAGCUGCUCUGGCUGCCUCUUCAUUCUUGUACGGAUCUGGGAUUACAUCUGAAAGCUAUCGACAAAAGAAAACGUGGAAUGGUUAUCAAGUUAUUUGCUAUUUCAUUUUGUUACACAUCUAGGUUCGAUAUCAGUGUGAUAAAGUCUUGAAUAAAAUCACUUCGUGGUAAAUUGGAAA
Molecule: long non-coding RNA, 374 nt
Organism: Actinia tenebrosa (Australian red waratah sea anemone)
Lineage: Eukaryota; Metazoa; Cnidaria; Anthozoa; Actiniaria; Actiniidae
Source: RefSeq, a predicted model, not a curated record